Molecule: ribosomal RNA, 498 nt
Filed under: uncultured bacterium
Lineage: Bacteria
Description: partial 16S ribosomal RNA
Rfam family: Bacterial small subunit ribosomal RNA
Source: RNAcentral
AUUGAACGCUGGCGGCAUGCUUUACACAUGCAAGUCGAACGGUAACAGGCCGCAAGGUGCUGACGAGUGGCGAACGGGUGAGUAAUGCAUCGGAACGUGCCCAGUCGUGGGGGAUAACGCAGCGAAGGCUGUGCUAAUACCGCAUACGAUCUAUGGAUGAAAGCGGGGGACCGUAAGGCCUCGCGCGAUUGGAGCGGCCGAUGUCAGAUUAGGUAGUUGGAGGGGUAAAGGCUCACCAAGCCAACGAUCUGUAGCUGGUCUGAGAGGACGACCAGCCACACUGGGACUGAGACACGGCCCAGACUCCGACGGGAGGCAGCAGUGGGGAAUUUUGGACAAUGGGCGCAAGCCUGAUCCAGCAAUGCCGCGUGCAGGAAGAAGGCCUUCGGGUUGUAAACUGCUUUUGUACGGAACGAAAAGGUUUGGGUUAAUACCCUGGGCCGAUGACGGUACCGUAAGAAUAAGCACCGGCUAACUACGUACCAGCAGCCGCGGUAA